CAGCGGCGGACGGGUGAGUAACACGUGGGCAACCUGCCUGUAAGACUGGGAUAACUUCGGGAAACCGGAGCUAAUACCGGAUAAUCCUUUCCCUCACAUGAGGGAAAGCUGAAAGACGGUUUCGGCUGUCACUUACAGAUGGGCCCGCGGCGCAUUAGCUAGUUGGUGAGGUAACGGCUCACCAAGGCAACGAUGCGUAGCCGACCUGAGAGGGUGAUCGGCCACACUGGGACUGAGACACGGCCCAGACUCCUACGGGAGGCAGCAGUAGGGAAUCUUCCGCAAUGGACGAAAGUCUGACGGAGCAACGCCGCGUGAGCGAUGAAGGCCUUCGGGUCGUAAAGCUCUGUUGUCAGGGAAGAACAAGUACCGGAGUAACUGCCGGUACCUUGACGGUACCUGACCAGAAAGCCACGGCUAACUACGUGCCAGCAGCCGCGGUAAUACGUAGGUGGCAAGCGUUGUCCGGAAUUAUUGGGCGUAAAGCGCGCGCAGGCGGUUCCUUAAGUCUGAUGUGAAAGCCCCCGGCUCAACCGGGGAGGGUCAUUGGAAACUGGGGAACUUGAGUGCAGAAGAGGAGAGCGGAAUUCCACGUGUAGCGGUGAAAUGCGUAGAGAUGUGGAGGAACACCAGUGGCGAAGGCGGCUCUCUGGUCUGUAACUGACGCUGAGGCGCGAAAGCGUGGGGAGCGAACAGGAUUAGAUACCCUGGUAGUCCACGCCGUAAACGAUGAGUGCUAAGUGUUAGAGGGUUUCCGCCCUUUAGUGCUGCAGCAAACGCAUUAAGCACUCCGCCUGGGGAGUACGGCCGCAAGGCUGAAACUCAAAGGAAUUGACGGGGGCCCGCACAAGCGGUGGAGCAUGUGGUUUAAUUCGAAGCAACGCGAAGAACCUUACCAGGUCUUGACAUCCUCUGACAACCCUAGAGAUAGGGCUUUCCCCUUCGGGGGACAGAGUGACAGGUGGUGCAUGGUUGUCGUCAGCUCGUGUCGUGAGAUGUUGGGUUAAGUCCCGCAACGAGCGCAACCCUUGAUCUUAGUUGCCAGCAUUAAGUUGGGCACUCUAAGGUGACUGCCGGUGACAAACCGGAGGAAGGUGGGGAUGACGUCAAAUCAUCAUGCCCCUUAUGACCUGGGCUACACACGUGCUACAAUGGAUGGAACAAAGGGCAGCGAAGCCGCGAGGUGAAGCCAAUCCCAUAAAACCAUUCUCAGUUCGGAUUGCAGGCUGCAACUCGCCUGCAUGAAGCCGGAAUCGCUAGUAAUCGCGGAUCAGCAUGCCGCGGUGAAUACGUUCCCGGGCCUUGUACACACCGCCCGUCACACCACGAGAGUUUGUAACACCCGAAGUCGGUGGGGUA
This 1359-nucleotide ribosomal RNA is filed under the name Mesobacillus subterraneus. RNAcentral's name for it is "bacterial SSU rRNA". It matches the Rfam family "Bacterial small subunit ribosomal RNA", at positions 93 to 1437 of the family's 1533-position model. The record is from RNAcentral. Lineage: Bacteria; Bacillati; Bacillota; Bacilli; Caryophanales; Bacillaceae.